This 156-nucleotide non-coding RNA is filed under the name Caldisericum exile AZM16c01. RNAcentral's name for it is "FMN riboswitch aptamer (RFN element)". It matches the Rfam family "FMN riboswitch aptamer (RFN element)". Rfam says of the family: The RFN element is a highly conserved domain that is found frequently in the 5'-untranslated regions of prokaryotic mRNAs that encode for flavin mononucleotide (FMN) biosynthesis and transport proteins. This element is a metabolite-dependent riboswitch that directly binds FMN in the absence of proteins. Lineage: Bacteria; Pseudomonadati; Caldisericota; Caldisericia; Caldisericales; Caldisericaceae. RNAcentral also lists the same sequence under 1 other name. The record is from Rfam by way of RNAcentral.
AAGAGCCUCCAGGGCAAGGUGAGUUACCUAAAAUAGGUAACAAUUCCUGAUCGGUGGUGAUAGGGUAUUCCCCUUAAGCCCACGAGCAACCCAAAAGGUUGUUGAUUGGGUGAAAAUCCCAAGCCGACAGUAAAGUCUGGAUGGAAGGAGGUUUGA